AAGUGAAGAAAACCAUACUUUAUUAAUAAAAUCAUCCUUUACAAAAGCUGGUAAAGGAUGCGAUACCGCACUCAGUUCGGUAUCGAUAUGGUCUUCCUGGGGGAGCCCGGGACAACCAGGUCGUCUAAGGACAGGUGCAUCGGCCCAGGUCGGAAACGGAGCAGGUCAAAGCUCCGUUUUUCUCAAACAGCAGAUCUGCAACAAGAAUUGCUGCAGAGCUUUUUUU
Molecule: small RNA, 226 nt
Filed under: Oryzias latipes (Japanese medaka)
Lineage: Eukaryota; Metazoa; Chordata; Actinopteri; Beloniformes; Adrianichthyidae
Description: Metazoan signal recognition particle RNA (ENSORLG00015023270.1)
Rfam family: Metazoan signal recognition particle RNA (bases 82-177)
Source: RNAcentral